AUUGAACGCUGGCGGCAUGCCUUACACAUGCAAGUCGAACGGUAACAGGUCUUCGGAUGCUGACGAGUGGCGAACGGGUGAGUAAUACAUCGGAACGUGCCCGGUCGUGGGGGAUAACGCAGCGAAAGCUGCGCUAAUACCGCAUACGAUCUGAGGAUGAAAGCGGGGGACCGUAAGGCCUCGCGCGAUCGGAGCGGCCGAUGUCAGAUUAGGUAGUUGGUGGGGUAAAGGCUCACCAAGCCGACGAUCUGUAGCUGGUCUGAGAGGACGACCAGCCACACUGGGACUGAGACACGGCCCAGACUCCUACGGGAGGCAGCAGUGGGGAAUUUUGGACAAUGGGCGCAAGCCUGAUCCAGCAAUGCCGCGUGCAGGAAGAAGGCCUUCGGGUUGUAAACUGCUUUUGUACGGAGCGAAAAGGUCUUCCCUAAUACGGGAGGCUGAUGACGGUACCGUAAGAAUAAGCACCGGCUAACUACGUG
RNAcentral lists this ribosomal RNA (482 nucleotides) under uncultured bacterium. RNAcentral describes it as "bacterial SSU rRNA". It matches the Rfam family "Bacterial small subunit ribosomal RNA", at positions 30 to 507 of the family's 1533-position model. The record is from RNAcentral.